This 712-nucleotide long non-coding RNA is filed under the name Homo sapiens (human). RNAcentral's name for it is "HSALNT0272737". The record is from RNAcentral. Lineage: Eukaryota; Metazoa; Chordata; Mammalia; Primates; Hominidae.
CGGCCACAUGCCAUAUAUUGUUUAUCCAUUCAUCCACUGAGGUUCUUCCAUCUGUCAGCUCUUCUAAAUAAUGCUGCAAGGAAUAUUGGUGCAUAAGUAUCUGUUUGAGUCUGUCUCUGCUUUUAGUUAUUUGGCACACAUACUUCCAGGGCCUGCUUUUGACUCCUCCAGUCCAUUUGCACUCAGCAGCCGAGAAGGACUUUUUACCAACACACAUCCAAUCACAUCACUUUUGUACUUACAGUUCUUUGCUGGCUUAAGAUAAAAGACGGAAAUUCUCACCAAAGUCUCCAGGGCCCUGAGCUCUGGCCUGCCUACCUCCAAGUCCCCUGGCUCUUCCCUUUGCUCUGCUCCAGCUGUCUAGACUUUUCCCCAUCCUUCAAGACAGCCAUGCUCCUUUUGGAUUUCAACAUGCUGGUCCCUUUUUCUAAAAUGUUCAUCCUCCCGCAACACCCGGGUUUUGCUAGUUUUUGCUUGGCCAAUUCAUCCUCUAGCUUUCUCAUCCAUCUUGCCUUAAAAUGCUCCUGAAUAUCUCCCUUCCUCCCUCGGGCUCAGCUCCUUCAUUCCUCGCUUCUGCUCCCAUGGUUCCUGUCUUUCGUGACUGUCCGUUCACGGGGCAUUAUUUUCCAAUGUCUGUCUUCCCUGCUGUAAUAGUAACUGUAUGCAUUCAUCCACUGGAGUUGCUUCCAUCUUUUGGCCAUCAUAAAUAAUG